ACGCUUGAAGUCAGUCGCGUUGGCCGGGAAUCAGCCUUGCUUUUGCAUGGUGUACUUUCUGGUCGACGGGUCAGCAUCAAUUUUGAUCACUGGAAAAGGCUCAAGGGAAUGUGGCAGCUUCGGCUGUGUUAUAGCCCCUGUUCACAUACAGUGGUUGGGAUUGAGGAACUCAGCACGCCGCAAGGCCGGGUUUCGACCACGUUCGUGCUUAGGAUGCUGGCAUAAUGGCUUUAAGCGACCCGUCUUGAAACACGGACCAAGGAGUC
RNAcentral lists this ribosomal RNA (266 nucleotides) under Agaricus subrutilescens. Its description in RNAcentral is "partial large subunit ribosomal RNA". It matches the Rfam family "Eukaryotic large subunit ribosomal RNA", at positions 419 to 675 of the family's 3401-position model. Lineage: Eukaryota; Fungi; Basidiomycota; Agaricomycetes; Agaricales; Agaricaceae. The record is from RNAcentral.